GGUUCAUUCAAAUUUCUUCCCUAUCAACUUUCGAUGGUAAGGUAUUGGCUUACCAUGGUUUCGACGGGUAACGGGGAAUUAGGGUUCGAUUCCGGAGAGGGAGCCUGAGAAACGGCUACCACAUCCAAGGAAGGCAGCAGGCGCGCAAAUUACCCAAUCCCGACCGGGGAGGUAGUGACAAUAAAUACUGAUACAGGGCUCUUUUGGGUCUUGUAAUUGGAAUGAGUACAAUUUAAACCUCUUAACGAGGAACAAUUGGAGGGCAAGUCUGGUGCCAGCAGCCGCGGUAAUUCCAGCUCCAAUAGCGUAUAUUAAAGUUGUUGCAGUUAAAAAGCUCGUAGUUG
Molecule: ribosomal RNA, 344 nt
Filed under: uncultured fungus
Lineage: Eukaryota; Fungi
Description: SSU rRNA
Rfam family: Eukaryotic small subunit ribosomal RNA
Source: RNAcentral